Molecule: ribosomal RNA, 287 nt
Filed under: uncultured bacterium
Lineage: Bacteria
Description: partial 16S ribosomal RNA
Rfam family: Bacterial small subunit ribosomal RNA
Source: RNAcentral
GGAUUAGAUACCCUGGUAGUCCACGCUGUAAACGAUGAUUACUCGUUGUUGGCAAUACAUCGUCAGCGACUGAGCGAAAGCAUUAAGUAAUCCACCUGGGGAGUACGAUCGCAAGAUUGAAACUCAAAGGAAUUGACGGGGGCCCGCACAAGCGGAGGAACAUGUGGUUUAAUUCGAUGAUACGCGAGGAACCUUACCUGGGCUUAAAUGCAAAACGACGGAUCGGGAAACUGAUCUUUCUUCGGACGGCUUGCAAGGUGCUGCAUGGCUGUCGUCAGCUCGUGCCG